GGAAUCUUCGGCAAUGGGGGCAACCCUGACCGAGCAACGCCGCGUGAGUGAAGAAGGUUUUCGGAUCGUAAAGCUCUGUUGUAAGAGAAGAACGUGUGUGAGAGUGGAAAGUUCACACAGUGACGGUAACUUACCAGAAAGGGACGGCUAACUACGUGCCAGCAGCCGCGGUAAUACGUAGGUCCCGAGCGUUGUCCGGAUUUAUUGGGCGUAAAGCGAGCGCAGGCGGUUUAAUAAGUCUGAAGUUAAAGGCAGUGGCUUAACCAUUGUUCGCUUUGGAAACUGUUAGACUUGAGUGCAGAAGGGGAGAGUGGAAUUCCAUGUGUAGCGGUGAAAUGCGUAGAUAUAUGGAGGAACACCGGUGGCGAAAGCGGCUCUCUGGUCUGUAACUGACGCUGAGGCUCGAAAGCGUGGGGAGCAAACA
Molecule: ribosomal RNA, 424 nt
Filed under: uncultured Streptococcus sp.
Lineage: Bacteria; Bacillati; Bacillota; Bacilli; Lactobacillales; Streptococcaceae
Description: bacterial SSU rRNA
Rfam family: Bacterial small subunit ribosomal RNA
Source: RNAcentral